This 4923-nucleotide long non-coding RNA is filed under the name Setaria italica (foxtail millet). RNAcentral's name for it is "long non-coding RNA (SITA_LNC006611)". Lineage: Eukaryota; Viridiplantae; Streptophyta; Magnoliopsida; Poales; Poaceae. The record is from RNAcentral.
CUGGUGGGCAUGGCUGUGCGGGCCAAGCAAAGACGGCGGCGGCGCGGGAAGUAGGGUGAGCCUUAUCCUCUCAGCCAGGGGCAUAACAGUCAGCUCACAUGGCAAAAGAAGGGAGAAAUCAGAAAACCAAUUACAAAAGCAAGAAAAGGCAUUCUAGCGUGUGGGUAUCGUUUUCGUUUCAUAAUGAUAAUAUGGCGAAAUCCAUUUGCGGGAUGGCAUUUGAACGAAGCUCACUUUUUUGAGGAUGGCGAAAUUGCAGUUUUCUCUUCUCCCUGCGAGAAAUUUAAACAUGGAGUCACCUCUGCACUCCGGUCCUCUGGCCUGGCGAGUGGCGACCCUAAACUUCUUCGCGGUAGGUUCCGUCGAGAUCAGAGCCGAUGCUGCGCGAUUCUUCUCGGGGGCUCGCUCUGCUGGGGAGGUAGGUCGAGGACGCGCUGUUCGAUGCAAUGCCUGACCCGUACGCCAAACUAAGGAGAAGAAGCGGUUGUUCCGGACUUCGCCAGGUACUUCCACGCCACCUUCGCUUCUUCCUUGCUUGGCUCGGCGGGCAUGGCUGUGCCUUGCUGUUGUUAUACUGCUAAUAACUUUUUAACUGGUGAAUAUACUAUCAGUAGGCGGUAAACCCUCCUGUUGCUCCGAAAGAAUUACUUUCAAGUUUCAACCAUGAGGAUCAGUAAUUCAGCAUUAACUUGCCCAUUCCAUUCUCCACUCGUUCCUUUUUUUUCUUUUACUUCCAUAGAAAGAGAACAUGCUUGGACAAUAUAUAGAACAAAGGUUUAACUAUAAUUUAUGCUAGAAGAUCAAAAUGUGAAGUGUAAUGCAAAUUCCAUAAAAUAUAUCACAGGAAGGCCACCGGACUAGUUGGCUCUGUAAGUAAGAAAUGAUAUGCUCGCACAGUAAAUGCAAAUGUUUAACAGGACAGCAUUGCCUAUGCCAUGUUUUGUACUCUGGAAGCCCAUUGAGGCGAGCUAGUCAACCAAUUGCAAUGCAUUACCAGCACACAAUAGAAAACAUAUAUGAGUACAUCACAAGUUCAGAACAUUGACACAUAUAAUUCUCAAACCUCUGCUUUUGUUGUGCAACACUAGCAAGCUUAUUAGGCCUUAGUCGCCAUCGUAUGACUCGUUAGGUUUCCAUGUGGAUAUUGCUUUCAGUAUCCUUCCCUUCCAUCCCAGAAGUAGCCAUUGAUCAUCUUCGCCGACAACAUAAUCUUUGUGAUAUUGUCCCACUAUGUCUCUUGUCUCUUUCACAAUGUCUGGAUUUAAUGGGAGCUGCUCAAGGCCAGCCUUCAGGUUUCGUGACUUCCAUUUCUUAAAACUCUCUGGUCUCUCAAUCCUAUCUGAUCCUUCACACGCAAUGACAUUGAGAAUCGUACACAGAUAGAUAUCCCUCUCUAUGAUCAUUCUUGACUCAUUAUCUCGUGGGACAAUUUUAUCAAGGAUAUCAAACAAUGCAGAGUAGUGGUACAUGAGUUCUUUAAAACGUGUUAAAAAGAAGGGGGUGCUGUAUGAUCCAUUAACGACUCCAUGAACAAAAACUUUUGGCUUCAUCAUUCUAAUGGUAUUGAGCACUCUAUUCCUGGCACUGUUAAUGGAUACUGUCUCAUCACCGAGAUUCUUCAUUCGGAAUAGACAGUUGACUAUCAGCACAUCAUCUUCCUCAAUGUGGAAAUCUUCUAUGCGGAUGGUUUCCCAUUUUGAUGUUAUUCCGUGAUAUUCAAAAGGCACACUGAACAUGCUAGCAUACUCAGCUAAUAGGUGUCCCGUGUUUGUAUUCAUUUGAUCUGGUCGAAAUCCUGGCUGGGGUAGCUCAAUACCUGUGAUCCGAACCUUAGGAGGUCCAUUUUCCCUCUUUGCGAGUUGCUCAAACAAUGAUGGCCACUGAAAACCAUAGCAAAUGCCAAAAUCGAUGAUGUGCACCUUUGGCUUUCCCUUUGAGACAUCAAGGAUUGUCUUAUUUGAGAAAUAAUUUGGUGCCAUCUGGAAAGGACAUAACUGGAAUACCUUUAAAAUGCCCACAGCAUUUCUGCAUUUAGUGACCAACUUCUGAUACAGCUGGCACCCAGUUCCAGCUAACCGUGCCUCAAGGCAGUCCGCUAGGCAAGAUGCUAGCCUCUGGGUAUCAUCCCCACUUAUAGAGCAGUUUUUCCUUAUGAUGUUCAGUAUGGCACUUGCUAAGGUGUGAUUAUUCACAGAUACUGCUUGUGCACAGUGGAUAAGAAGGGUUCUCAGAUCCACAACCUCUUUCUUUUCUUGCUUCUUACCUCUUGUCCUCCGCCGAGCUGAUGUUCUUUCUUGAUCAUUCUGUGAAUUUCUGGUUGAUUUGCUUGUCAUCAUUUCUCGCAAAACAAUACCUUCAUCUGUUGGCUUAUGCUCAGAGAAGAGUAGAACCCUGUCAAACAUCUCAUCUCGGGUUGGCCUGCUGAAUGAAAUGGCCAACUGCUUGCUACUCCUUCCUUCUAACAAAUAAAAACCUUCUGUGCGUGGAUAGUUUUGACAUUGAACCUCAAAUGAUGCAUUCAUGCUUGUGUUUGCGACAUUCACCUGAAGUGAUUUAUUAUCUCGGCUACGCUUUUCAGCAAUGGAAAGGCCAUCAAUGUUCAAACCAUGCUCCAUGUUGUUUGUACCUUGAGUGAGAUGAUUUGUCUCUUUGACAAUGUCAGACAAACUCCAUGGAGCUUCAAAGGCUUGCAGGUUGUGGUUAGAAUGAUUAUUACUUGAGUCAAUAGCAACAGAGCAGCUACUGCAUGACUGCCAAGACUUGUCGAUGCAGCCAUCGAGGUUAUUCGGAUAAUCACAGCUACGUAGCGGUAAUAGAGGAUAAGCUGAACUAUUUUGUCCAAGAAGUUUAUAGAAAGGCUCUUCCACAUCUCUAAGGGCAUUCUCUCCGUGAUGUAAUUUUACCCUGCCAUCACUGUCCUCCUGCAUCAACAGCUUGUUUAUGUAGUUGAGGGUUAUAUCUGAGUUGAUCCAACUGCUCUUAGAAGAACCUGCCACACUGGUUCCAUACCAAUCUAGUGCCGCAUUGCUACUGACCUCACAGCAUUGGGGACCAUAUAUUUUACUUGGAUAGGAGUUGUUCAGUGUAAUAUGACCAUGAUCGUUAAAGGUACUUGAAACAGGAGGAUAAUAAUUCAUGAAGCUUGGUGGGUGCAAAAAUAACUCCAAAUCAUUAGACUCAUCGGCUGGAUCAACGGAUUUCUGAGACAGGGCAUAGCACCCAGAAGUACUCGAAAUGCUGCUUGGGAAAUCCUCAAAGUUAGAACUAGAUUUGCCGUUGAACUCCAUUGGUGGAGUGCUUGGUCACAGCAAAAAGUCAUAGGGUUCCUUGCAACUCCCCUGUAAACAAUGCUAAUAUGUAAAAUUAAAUAACAAACAGAGUCUUUUAUGAAUUAUAAAUAUAAUAGUGGAUACUAUGUUUCCUUAAUAUUCUCUUGAAAGAGAAAUUCUGAAAACAUGCACUAGAUUGCAUUGGUUAUAUAUGAUACAUGUAUAUAAUAGAGUACUAUUCUCCAAGUAGUCAAAGCAGUUUGAUUUCAUGUUUUUUAAGAGUAUGAAAUGCCCAAUUGAACAACAAAAACUAGGCUGAAGAGAAUAGACUUGCUAAGGAGUGGAUUGAACAAAGCUGUAGAGUGCAUGAACUUGUAACAUAAUUUCUUGAAAGUUAAAGCAAAUCUUCAUGAAAAACGCAUGACAGCUUUCCUUACCUUGCUGGCCAUACUUUACAAGAAGAAAAUAUCAUCCCAAUAACAUGAAAAGACCAAAUGAACUACCUAUCCGUGAAAACAGUUUUCUGAUGUUUUGCACAAGCACUAAACUGUUAGGCUUAAGUUUAAAUCCCAAAGAUAAGCUUUAUUGGAGGCAACCAAUAGGUUGUAUCGCUAUACUGGAUAUUAUCACGAGAGAACAUUUAGGAUGGUAACGAACUAAGAUGUCACCCUUCAUGUUAUUACUCUAUCAGAUCAUGAAGCAUCUACUUGUCAAGGAAAAAAAAAUAUUUCCCAAUAACCAUCUCAAUCACUGAUUCUUACAUCAGUUAUUCCCUUACAGAUGCACAUAAAUUAGUAAAUUGAUUGAAAAUGCUAUAUGCAACUAAAAUCAAAGGCACGAAUUUGACAUUGAUUUGAUCAAGGAAUGGACUGAAGAUAAGAGAGUCUUACCAUUGUGUUCCUGCAGGUAUAACACGCACGAUGGAAUUCGCAGGCCUGGAGGACACCCGGACGUGAAGACCGACCCAGAUGGAAUGGCAAACUGAGGCGUGAGCACAAAGAAAACAACGAUGAACGAUGCAACUGUCUUACGGGCUCUCGCGUUGUCUUUGGCCUGCAGUAUCAGCUAGCAUGACUCAGUCACUCAGCUGUGCCGAGGGAAGCGAGAGCGAGUCAAUGUCAGCUUGCAGUACGAGAGUAUGAGUUGCCCAGUGGUGAGCGAGCCUGACGAGGUUCAAACGUUGAGAGCUACGGUUGAAUUCGUCAUCGUGUUCCCUGCACGUGAGCUAGGGACAAGACGAGCUCUAGAGAUGAGGCGUCGUUUCAGAUGUUGCUAGACAGGCAGCUACGGCAGAUAUCAUCGCUGCCGGGGAGCUCUUCCAGCUUUGAGCCUCGGAGUUGCAGUCAGGCUGCCAACGAAAUAUUCCCUAUCUUCUCUGAUGAAAGUAAAUUUGACUUUGAACAAAAUAGUAGAAUGUCAGGUGGUGCAUUUUGAAUCAGGUAUGUACGAGACAAGGAGUCGCUUUGGGCAAGCUAUUCCCUCCAUUUGUAAAUAUUGGACGUGGUAUAAGUACAAAACUCACGGCAUGCGGUCUUAAAAACUAAAUUAUGAUCGUAAGUUCCUCGUGUAGUAUAUUAGUUAUAGAGAAAAAAUACUAUUGAAACUAAUGGAACCUAACUCACAGCACGCUAAUUCUUGUCUAAAGGCUUCCGAG